Molecule: microRNA precursor, 144 nt
Filed under: Gossypium hirsutum (cotton)
Lineage: Eukaryota; Viridiplantae; Streptophyta; Magnoliopsida; Malvales; Malvaceae
Description: MIR7502 microRNA precursor family
Rfam family: MIR7502 microRNA precursor family
Source: Rfam by way of RNAcentral
UGUUAAAUUUCUAUUUAUUUGUACUGUUAAAAAGUUGACGUGGAUGAUGGAAUAAUAGACAGUAACACGUGGCAUGCUAUAUAUACCUCAUAUUGGAGUACAAGAAUCGGUUUUUAACACUAGAAAUGGGUGAAAUUUAUAACA